This 434-nucleotide ribosomal RNA is filed under the name uncultured Ruminococcus sp. RNAcentral's name for it is "partial 16S ribosomal RNA". It matches the Rfam family "Bacterial small subunit ribosomal RNA", at positions 341 to 792 of the family's 1533-position model. Lineage: Bacteria; Bacillati; Bacillota; Clostridia; Eubacteriales; Oscillospiraceae. The record is from RNAcentral.
ACGGGAGGCAGCAGUGGGGAAUAUUGCACAAUGGGGGGAACCCUGAUGCAGCGAUGCCGCGUGGAGGAAGAAGGUUUUCGGAUUGUAAACUCCUGUCUUAAAGGACGAUAAUGACGGUACUUUAGGAGGGAGCUCCGGCUAACUACGUGCCAGCAGCCGCGGUAAUACGUAGGGGGCGAGCGUUGUCCGGAAUUACUGGGUGUAAAGGGAGCGUAGGCGGGAUUGCAAGUCAGAUGUGAAAUACAGGGGCUCAACCUCUGAGCUGCAUUUGAAACUGUAGUUCUUGAGUGAAGGAGAGGUAAGCGGAAUUCCUGGUGUAGCGGUGAAAUGCGUAGAUAUCAGGAGGAACACCGGUGGCGAAGGCGGCUUACUGGGCUUUUACUGACGCUGAGGCUCGAAAGCGUGGGGAGCAAACAGGAUUAGAUACCCUGGUA